UUUUACAUUUAUUAUUGCUCUACUUCUCUCACUCAUUGCUAAAUGAACAAUUAACAUCUUUGUAUUUACAUAGCUACAGGGACAUAUAUGUGAGCAUUUCAGUGUGUUACACAAAUGAAUACAUUUUAAUUGUAAAUCAUUUACUAUCCAGAUAAUAUCAAUUCUAUGACAUUUGUGAACAUUAAAAUUUCAUCUUUUAGGGCUGGGGAUAUGGCCUAGUGGCA
Molecule: long non-coding RNA, 224 nt
Organism: Perognathus longimembris pacificus (Pacific pocket mouse)
Lineage: Eukaryota; Metazoa; Chordata; Mammalia; Rodentia; Heteromyidae
Exons: 3
Source: RefSeq, a predicted model, not a curated record